GGGUUGUGAGGUUAAGCGACUAAGCGUACACGGUGGAUGCCCUGGCAGUCAGAGGCGAUGAAGGACGUGCUAAUCUGCGAUAAGCGUCGGUGAGGUGAUAUGAACCGUUAUAACCGGCGAUUUCCGAAUGGGGAAACCCAGUGUGUUUCGACACACUAUCAUUAACUGAAUCCAUAGGUUAAUGAGGCGAACCGGGGGAACUGAAACAUCUAAGUACCCCGAGGAAAAGAAAUCAACCGAGAUUCCCCCAGUAGCGGCGAGCGAACGGGGAGGAGCCCAGAGCCUGAAUCAGUGUGUGUGUUAGUGGAAGCGUCUGGAAAGGCGCGCGAUACAGGGUGACAGCCCCGUACACAAAAAUGCACAUAUUGUGAGCUCGAUGAGUAGGGCGGGACACGUGGUAUCCUGUCUGAAUAUGGGGGGACCAUCCUCCAAGGCUAAAUACUCCUGACUGACCGAUAGUGAACCAGUACCGUGAGGGAAAGGCGAAAAGAACCCCGGCGAGGGGAGUGAAAAAGAACCUGAAACCGUGUACGUACAAGCAGUGGGAGCCUCUUUAUGGGGUGACUGCGUACCUUUUGUAUAAUGGGUCAGCGACUUAUAUUCUGUAGCAAGGUUAACCGAAUAGGGGAGCCGAAGGGAAACCGAGUCUUAACUGGGCGUUAAGUUGCAGGGUAUAGACCCGAAACCCGGUGAUCUAGCCAUGGGCAGGUUGAAGGUUGGGUAACACUAACUGGAGGACCGAACCGACUAAUGUUGAAAAAUUAGCGGAUGACUUGUGGCUGGGGGUGAAAGGCCAAUCAAACCGGGAGAUAGCUGGUUCUCCCCGAAAGCUAUUUAGGUAGCGCCUCGUGAAUUCAUCUCCGGGGGUAGAGCACUGUUUCGGCAAGGGGGUCAUCCCGACUUACCAACCCGAUGCAAACUGCGAAUACCGGAGAAUGUUAUCACGGGAGACACACGGCGGGUGCUAACGUCCGUCGUGAAGAGGGAAACAACCCAGACCGCCAGCUAAGGUCCCAAAGUCAUGGUUAAGUGGGAAACGAUGUGGGAAGGCCCAGACAGCCAGGAUGUUGGCUUAGAAGCAGCCAUCAUUUAAAGAAAGCGUAAUAGCUCACUGGUCGAGUCGGCCUGCGCGGAAGAUGUAACGGGGCUAAACCAUGCACCGAAGCUGCGGCAGCGACACUAUGUGUUGUUGGGUAGGGGAGCGUUCUGUAAGCCUGUGAAGGUGGCCUGUGAGGGUUGCUGGAGGUAUCAGAAGUGCGAAUGCUGACAUAAGUAACGAUAAAGCGGGUGAAAAGCCCGCUCGCCGGAAGACCAAGGGUUCCUGUCCAACGUUAAUCGGGGCAGGGUGAGUCGACCCCUAAGGCGAGGCCGAAAGGCGUAGUCGAUGGGAAACAGGUUAAUAUUCCUGUACUUGGUGUUACUGCGAAGGGGGGACGGAGAAGGCUAUGUUGGCCGGGCGACGGUUGUCCCGGUUUAAGCGUGUAGGCUGGUUUUCCAGGCAAAUCCGGAAAACCAAGGCUGAGGCGUGAUGACGAGGCACUACGGUGCUGAAGCGACAAAUGCCCUGCUUCCAGGAAAAGCCUCUAAGCAUCAGGUAACAUCAAAUCGUACCCCAAACCGACACAGGUGGUCAGGUAGAGAAUACCAAGGCGCUUGAGAGAACUCGGGUGAAGGAACUAGGCAAAAUGGUGCCGUAACUUCGGGAGAAGGCACGCUGAUAUGUAGGUGAAGCGACUUGCUCGUGGAGCUGAAAUCAGUCGAAGAUACCAGCUGGCUGCAACUGUUUAUUAAAAACACAGCACUGUGCAAACACGAAAGUGGACGUAUACGGUGUGACGCCUGCCCGGUGCCGGAAGGUUAAUUGAUGGGGUUAGCGGUAACGCGAAGCUCUUGAUCGAAGCCCCGGUAAACGGCGGCCGUAACUAUAACGGUCCUAAGGUAGCGAAAUUCCUUGUCGGGUAA
RNAcentral lists this ribosomal RNA (1962 nucleotides) under Escherichia coli. RNAcentral describes it as "partial 23S ribosomal RNA". It matches the Rfam family "Bacterial large subunit ribosomal RNA", at positions 1 to 1979 of the family's 2925-position model. The record is from RNAcentral. Lineage: Bacteria; Pseudomonadati; Pseudomonadota; Gammaproteobacteria; Enterobacterales; Enterobacteriaceae.